GCGCACCAAGAGCCUUUGCAACGGAUAAACAGUGGUCAUUCACAUCUGCCACGACAAUUCUAGGUGCUUCGAAGGCACGAGCAGCCAACAAUGUAACAAGUCCUAUAGGUCCUGCUCCCAUGACCAAAACAUUUGUUUCUGGACCGACACUAGCCCGACGACAAGCAUGAACACCAACACUUAAGGGCUCACACAUUGCCCCUUCCUCCAAGCUCACAUUGUUUGGUAGUUUAAAACACAGGUCUCCAGGAUGGACAACCUG
RNAcentral lists this long non-coding RNA (262 nucleotides) under Prunus dulcis (almond). RNAcentral describes it as "sRNA ncRNA". Lineage: Eukaryota; Viridiplantae; Streptophyta; Magnoliopsida; Rosales; Rosaceae. The record is from RNAcentral.